GGGUCUCUGGGAUUUGGGGGAUUCCUGGGAUUUGGAGUCCCUGGGAUUUGAAGUCCCGGGGAUUCGGAGUCCCUGGGAUUUG
Turdus rufiventris (rufous-bellied thrush) is the source of this 82-nucleotide non-coding RNA. The record is from the annotation of a GenBank genome assembly. Lineage: Eukaryota; Metazoa; Chordata; Aves; Passeriformes; Turdidae.